RNAcentral lists this long non-coding RNA (935 nucleotides) under Coccomyxa subellipsoidea. RNAcentral's name for it is "long non-coding RNA (CSUB_LNC000148)". The record is from RNAcentral. Lineage: Eukaryota; Viridiplantae; Chlorophyta; Trebouxiophyceae; Coccomyxaceae.
AUGCACGGCCCCAGCAUGCUCAUGAGGAACUGCAUGCGCGAGGCCAGCACCAAGUCCGCCUCCCACAGUGGCCGCCCGCUCGCGCUGGGCCGCACGAGCUCCGCGUAGGCCGGCAGUAACAGCAGCAGCCCCUGGCAUGCCUGCACCGCAUACAUACGCUCUACAUUUCUGCUUGACACAAGCAUGAACAACAACACGGAGGACUCUACAAAACGUGCAUUCAAUCAAGAAAGAGCAGGGGUUUGGGACAGCGGUGUCAACAGAUGUUGCAAAGGGCACUUCAAAAGGAUCAUCCACGCCCUUACUGUAUGAUCUGAGGAUGUCUGCUCCUCCUUAAGACUGCAGAGGCAUCAAAAUUGAUAGCGCACCUCGGAGGUGUUGGCGGUAGCGGUCAGCAGCGCCUGCAGGAGCAGCGAAUAGACGGAGAGGCGCAUGCGGCAGAACUGCAGGUGGCCCAGAAUGUCCAGCAGCCGCACCGCGACCUCCUCGGGCGCCAUGCGCGACUGCCCCUCCGCCAGCCCCCUCACUGGCUUGGCAGCGGCGUCCCAGAACGUGGACAUCAGCAGCACAGCGCACAUGAACACCUUGUCCAGCACCUGCAUUUGCAUUGCAGUCGCCAUUCAGUCCUGCAAAUAGCUGCAAAGCGUGACACACAACCACUGGCCCCAGGCACUUAAGAUAAUGUCCUCUCAAUGCUGUCCAUCACAGCACUCCUCAAUGUACAAGUGCACAACGUUGACAAGCACCAAUUUCCGUCAGGCAAGAGAGAUAUUCCUGGGACUCAGGCAUGCUGAAGCAAGAAUGAGGAUGAUGUCACCUGUCUGACUGCUCCGCUGUCGACCGCUUCCAGCCAGGAGUGCGGCGUGCGAAGCGCGUACUCCCGAUACCUCUCGUGAAAGGAGACGGCAAAGCGAUGCACAGCCAGUUGGGCUGCC